CUGACAUUCUCAUGUGUGAAAUUGAAUUGCAUAAACUAUUUGUUUGAUUGCAUGGUGUGCUGUGAUCCCCCAGAUUGGCAUGGACUACACUGACUUGAGACAGCUGUUGCCAAUUCCCUAUCACCUCCUUCCUCCCCAAACUAAUUGCUAAACAUGUCCCAGAACUAGAGUUAAAAGGAACUGGAACUUAUCUUCAGAGUGCCAUUUGGACCGGUGACCUCUCGGCUGACGGCCUGUCAUACCUUAACUUGACAAAUCAAUCUCCGUUGCACUGUUAAAGGAAAGUUCUUGUUUCGACUGAGUGAGUGUGACUCCAAUAGUUGGCCAGUACAUGCUUUACAGGACGCAACUGUUGCACCCAAUGCUACAAGACCCGGCGCAGAUCGAGAGACAGCCCAGCAAACAGCCACCGACAACCGAGCCAGGCAACCAAGAGCUCAACUCAAACAAUGCUCUCUUUAGCACUAUUAAAGGAAAGUUCUUAUUUCCAGCAUGUGAGUGUGACUCCAAUUGUUGGCCGAUACAUACUCUAAUUGUAUGUUUUGUGACUACAGACACAGGGUACAUGCCCGACGCAGCUGCAAGAGGCUACACCCAAUGCUACCACAUAGCCGGUCCGAUGCGGAGAGAGGGACAGCCGGCAACCUGCCAUUGGCAACCUAACCAGCCAUGGACUCUCGGACCAGCCAUCGACUAAUGUCCCCUGCUUGGGAGGAAGAGCCAAACCCUGCUCGGGUCGAGUAUAACGAACAAACAAUGGCCACCGCUCCGCAAAGUGCAAAAUUGUAUGUCCCCAGACCUGCUGGAGCAGCAGGAACUUCAGGUACCUAGCAAGUUCAAAUUCCAAGUAGUCCAGGGGACCACGAUACAACAUUCAAAAAAAAUUGUCCCUGGAACAAAGCGGGAACUACACAAAGCUUGCACGGGACCAUGACUGUAAAUUCAAUUAAUGUAAAUGAUGCAUUAUAAAGUAAAAUAUUCUCAAUUACAUUUGACACCUGGGUUUUCACAUGUGCUCAAAUGUUGUCACGUGUAGUUUCAUGGUAUCACAUGUUUAAAUUUUGCAUCCCCAAGUUGUCACAUUUAUUUCACAUGAGAUCAUUGUUUUUACAUGUGCUCACAUUGUCACUUUAUCACAUUAACUUAACACACGGGUCUGUCAUUCUUUGUCACACCUUAACUUGACAAACUGAAGAGCUGAAUGUGAAUCACAGUACAGUAUGUAUCAGGCCCGACUCCAACUAGUAUUGCUGUUGAGUCCUAAAAACACAGGUAGAUUGGUCCCACCACUGUACAAAAAUGUAUCUGAAAUAUAGCCAUACACAUCAACCAUUGUUUUAUAUAACACAAGUUAUCCCCGGACCCCAUUAUGACAUACAGCUGCAUUUUGCCAUACAUUUGCACCUACCAACACGCACAGAUCAGCUUGACGGGAUGAGCACCACUAGGCUAUCAAAUUCAUACAGGCUACAUAGCUUAAACUUCAAUCAUUUGAAGACUCUAUAGCAGGUGUUCUUAAACUUUUUCAGCCUGGGACCCAAAUGAGAAAUUCUGUGUUUCCUGGGACCCAAGCUUAGGAUAAUAUGUAAAUAUCGGUACAUUUCAUUGCCCUUAUGCCUAAGAAAAAAAUGCAAUAUAGACAAAAACAAUUUAACAAUGUAUUGUCCAUAAAUAUAUUUUCAUGUUUAUUUUUCCCCAUUAAAAACACUCUUAUACACCUUUCUAGGUCGGAACUGUUGCUGUUAAAAAAACUAUAAAUAAUUUCAUUCUGAACUGGAAUAAACGGAUUGAUCACAU
This 1797-nucleotide long non-coding RNA is filed under the name Salmo salar (Atlantic salmon). Its description in RNAcentral is "lncRNA (ENSSSAG00000099297.1)". Lineage: Eukaryota; Metazoa; Chordata; Actinopteri; Salmoniformes; Salmonidae. The record is from RNAcentral.